This is a non-coding RNA of Populus trichocarpa (black cottonwood), 77 nucleotides long. The record is from Rfam. NCBI's taxonomy places the organism in Eukaryota, Viridiplantae, Streptophyta, Magnoliopsida, Malpighiales, Salicaceae.
GUUUGGAUGUGAUGCCAAAACAGAAUAUCAGAGGCUUUCAGCACUGGUGAUAUUUUGCACGUCAGUCUGAUCCAAAA